CCUACGGGAGGCUGCAGUGGGGAAUAUUGCACAAUGGGCGAAAGCCUGAUGCAGCAACGCCGCGUGAGCGAUGAAGGCCUUCGGGUCGUAAAGCUCUGUCAUCAAGGAAGAAAAUGACGGUACUUGAGAAGGAAGCCCCGGAUAACUACGUGCCAGCAGCCGCGGUAAUACGUAGGGGGCUAGCGUUAUCCGGAAUUACUGGGCGUAAAGGGGGCGUAGGUGGUUUCUUAAGUCAGAGGUGAAAGGCUACGGCUCAACCGUAGUAAGCCUUUGAAACUGGGGAACUUGAGUGCAGGAGAGGAGAGUGGAAUUCCUGGUGUAGCGGUGAAAUGCGUAGAGAUUAGGAGGAACACCAGUGGCGAAGGCGGCUCUCUGGACUGUAACUGACGCUGAGGCACGAAAGCGUGGGGAGCAAACAGGAUUAGAUACCCCAGUAGUC
Molecule: ribosomal RNA, 439 nt
Filed under: uncultured bacterium
Lineage: Bacteria
Description: partial 16S ribosomal RNA
Rfam family: Bacterial small subunit ribosomal RNA
Source: RNAcentral